UCAAUGAUGAUAACUUUUUGUCCAGUUCUGCUACUGAAUGCAAGUGCUGAUAGUUAAGACUCUGAGA
Molecule: small nucleolar RNA, 67 nt
Organism: Dunckerocampus dactyliophorus (ringed pipefish)
Lineage: Eukaryota; Metazoa; Chordata; Actinopteri; Syngnathiformes; Syngnathidae
Source: RefSeq, a predicted model, not a curated record